RNAcentral lists this ribosomal RNA (440 nucleotides) under uncultured bacterium. RNAcentral's name for it is "partial 16S ribosomal RNA". It matches the Rfam family "Bacterial small subunit ribosomal RNA", at positions 338 to 795 of the family's 1533-position model. The record is from RNAcentral.
CCUACGGGAGGCAGCAGUGGGGAAUAUUGCACAAUGGGGGAAACCCUGAUGCAGCGACGCCGCGUGAGUGAAGAAGUAUUUCGGUAUGUAAAGUCCUUUCAGUAGGGAAGAAAAUGACGGUAUCUGACUAAUAAGCCCCGGCUAACUACGUGCCAGCAGCCGCGGUAAUACGUAGGGUGCAAGCGUUACUUGGAUUAACUGGGCGUAAAGAGAGCGUAGGCGGCAGAGCAAGUCAGAUGUGAAAUCCCAUGGCUUAACCAUAGAACUGCAUUUGAAACUGUUCAGCUAGAGUACGGGAGAGGUAAGUGGAAUUCUUGGUGUAGCGGUAAAAUGCGUAGAUAUUAAGAGGAACACCAAUGGCGAAGGCGACUUACUAGACUAUAACUGACGUUGAGGCGCGAAAGCGUGGGGAGCAAACAGGAUUAGAUACCCGUGUAGUC